RNAcentral lists this ribosomal RNA (561 nucleotides) under uncultured bacterium. Its description in RNAcentral is "bacterial SSU rRNA". It matches the Rfam family "Bacterial small subunit ribosomal RNA", at positions 338 to 916 of the family's 1533-position model. The record is from RNAcentral.
CCUACGGGAGGCAGCAGUGGGGAAUAUUGGACAAUGGGCGCAAGCCUGAUCCAGCAAUGUCGCGUGAGUGAUGAAGGCCUUAGGGUCGUAAAGCUCUUUUACCAGGGAUGAUAAUGACAGUACCUGGAGAAUAAGCUCCGGCUAACUCCGUGCCAGCAGCCGCGGUAAUACGGAGGGAGCUAGCGUUGUUCGGAAUUACUGGGCGUAAAGCGUACGUAGGCGGUUAUUCAAGUCAGAGGUGAAAGCCCGGGGCUCAACCCCGGAACGGCCUUUGAAACUAGGUAGCUAGAAUCUUGGAGAGGUCAGUGGAAUUCCGAGUGUAGAGGUGAAAUUCGUAGAUAUUCGGAAGAACACCAGUGGCGAAGGCGACUGACUGGACAAGUAUUGACGCUGAGGUACGAAAGCGUGGGGAGCAAACAGGAUUAGAUACCCUGGUAGUCCACGCCGUAAACGAUGAUAACUAGCUGUUCGGGCACUUGGUGCUUGAGUGGCGCAGCUAACGCAUUAAGCUAUCCGCCUGGGGAGUACGGUCGCAAGAUUAAAACUUAAAUGAAUUGACGG